Transfer RNA from Clunio marinus, 82 nucleotides. It matches the Rfam family "tRNA". From Rfam's summary of the family: Transfer RNA (tRNA) molecules are approximately 80 nucleotides in length. Their secondary structure includes four short double-helical elements and three loops (D, anti-codon, and T loops). Further hydrogen bonds mediate the characteristic L-shaped molecular structure. tRNAs have two regions of fundamental functional importance: the anti-codon, which is responsible for specific mRNA codon recognition, and the 3' end, to which the tRNAs corresponding amino acid is attached (by aminoacyl-tRNA synthetases). tRNAs cope with the degeneracy of the genetic code in two manners: having more than one tRNA (with a specific anti-codon) for a particular amino acid; and 'wobble' base-pairing, i.e. permitting non-standard base-pairing at the 3rd anti-codon position. The record is from Rfam. Lineage: Eukaryota; Metazoa; Arthropoda; Insecta; Diptera; Chironomidae.
GCUGAGAUGUCCGAGUGGUUAAGGAGAUGGACUUGAAAUCCAUUGGGUAUUACCCGCGUAGGUUCAAAUCCUGCUCUCAGCG